Molecule: ribosomal RNA, 492 nt
Filed under: uncultured bacterium
Lineage: Bacteria
Description: partial 16S ribosomal RNA
Rfam family: Bacterial small subunit ribosomal RNA
Source: RNAcentral
AGUGAACGCUGGCGGUAGGCCUAACACAUGCAAGUCGAACGGCAGCACAGUAAGAGCUUGCUCUUACGGGUGGCGAGUGGCGGACGGGUGAGGAAUACAUCGGAAUCUACUUUUUCGUGGGGGAUAACGUAGGGAAACUUACGCUAAUACCGCAUACGACCUACGGGUGAAAGCAGGGGAUCUUCGGACCUUGCGCGAUUGAAUGAGCCGAUGUCGGAUUAGCUAGUUGGCGGGGUAAAGGCCCACCAAGGCGACGAUCCGUAGCUGGUCUGAGAGGAUGAUCAGCCAAACUGGAACUGAGACACGGUCCAGACUCCUAAGGGAGGCAGCAGUGGGGAAUAUUGGACAAUGGGCGCAAGCCUGAUCCAGCCAUACCGCGUGGGUGAAGAAGGACUUCGGGUUGUAAAGCCCUUUUGUUGGGAAAGAAAAGCAGCAGGUUAAUACCCCGCUGUUCUGACGGUACCCAAAGAAUAAGCACCGGCUAACUUCGUG